Molecule: ribosomal RNA, 494 nt
Filed under: uncultured bacterium
Lineage: Bacteria
Description: partial 16S ribosomal RNA
Rfam family: Bacterial small subunit ribosomal RNA
Source: RNAcentral
GACGAACGCUGGCGGCGUGCUUAACACAUGCAAGUCGAACGGAAAGGCCUGCUUUCCCUUGUGGAUUGCGGGUACUCGAGUGGCGAACGGGUGAGUAACACGUGAGUGAUCUGCCCCCAACUUGGGUAUAAGCCUGGGAAACUGGGUCUAAUUCCCGAUAGGACUGCAGGGUGGUGCCUGUGGUGGAAAACGAUUUUCUAGUGGUUGGGGAUGAGCUCGCGGCCUAUCAGCUUGUUGGUGGGGUAAUGGCCUACCAAGGCGGCGACGGGUAGCCGGCCUGGGGGGGUGGACGGGCACAUUGGGACGGAGAUACGGCCCAGGCGCCUACGGGAGGCAGCAGUGGGGAAGAUUGCACAAGGGGCGGAAGCCUGAUGCAGCGACGCCGCGUGGGGGAUGACGGCCUUCGGGUUGUAAACUCCUUUCGGCCGCGAGGAAGCCACCUGGUUGGAAGGGUGGUGACGGUAGUGGUAGAAGAAGCACCGGCUAACUACGUG